GGAACAGCUCUUGUCACAGAUACGAAAAGGAUAAUAAUGGCGACGAGCGGCAGAGAUACCCGACGACGUCGUAUUGUUGAACGGGGAAAUGACCGAUUAGCUCUAAUUACCGGCCGGAUCCCAACUCUACCAUCGGAAACUGGAUCGGGAUCGGAAACUCGUCAUUUGCACACCGCCUCUUGCCCUACUUGGAUUUCUGAAAAUCAUCUUCCUUCUAACCAAUCCUCUCCUGUUUCUAUUAGUGGGAGCGAGGGCUCUAGACCAUUGUUGUUUGAUGGUGAUCAUGGAAUUCAGCCUGGUGAGCAUGAAGGAUCUGAUGGCAAAAGCAGAACAACUCCAUUUAUGCGAAAAUGUGAGUCAAACAUUGAAUCAACAAGUGAACCUGCCUUGUAUCUUGAUGACAAAGAUCAUUUAUAUGCGGAUUCAUCUACUGUAAAUCCUCCAAGCCUUUCUGCUUCUGAUGGGGGUCGAUUUUCAAAACUGAAGAGCAACUAU
This 495-nucleotide unclassified non-coding RNA is filed under the name Hevea brasiliensis (rubber tree). The record is from RNAcentral. Lineage: Eukaryota; Viridiplantae; Streptophyta; Magnoliopsida; Malpighiales; Euphorbiaceae.